UGAGGAAUAUUGCACAAUGGGCGCAAGCCUGAUGCAGCGACGCCGCGUGAGUGAAGAAGGCCUUCGGGUCGUAAAGCUCUUUUCUGCGUGACGAGCAAGGACGGUAGCGCAGGAAUAAGUCUCGGCUAACUACGUGCCAGCAGCCGCGGUAAAACGUAGGAGACAAACGUUAUCCGGAGUUACUGGGCGUAAAGGGCGUGUAGGCGGUUGGUUAAGUCUGGCGUGAAAGCUCUCGGCUAAACCGGGAGAGGUCGUUGGAUACUGGCAAACUAGAGGACGGUAGAGGCGUGUGGAAUUCCGGGUGUAGUGGUGAAAUGCGUAGAGAUCCGGAGGAACACCAGUGGCGAAGGCGACACGCUGGGCCGUACCUGACGCUAAAGCGCGACAGCAUGGGGAGCAAACGGGAUUAGAUACCCCCGUAGUCC
Molecule: ribosomal RNA, 425 nt
Filed under: uncultured bacterium
Lineage: Bacteria
Description: bacterial SSU rRNA
Rfam family: Bacterial small subunit ribosomal RNA
Source: RNAcentral